GGUGCUUAGCAACAUAAAAAGGGAGGAGGCAUGACUUGCAGGAAGUAUCAGACAGUGCACCCACCUCCUGACAGCCUACUGUCCUUCUUCUGCACAAAUACUUCACGUCCCCCCGGACGCCGCGCUGCAGGUGCCCCUGUUCUUUGGUGACUCACUAAGGAGGCAGCAAGAGAUCUCCCAUAUGCGAAGUGGUAGUCGGUGAACAAUCCGCAGGUGCAUGGCCCCAUCCUAUAACAACCCCUACUAUGGUGACAAGAUGGACCAGCUGGAGAGGAUGGAAGUACAUUCUGUUCACACUGUGCCAAGAACAGUUAUGUGACGUGAUCUGCCCAUUCAAGAAGAAAGAGCACACAGCAUCACACAGAGAUGAAGAGCUGUAAGAAGAAACAAGGAACCUGUGGAUAGGCCCAGCUCCCUCCAGCCAUAGUCAGCCCAGUAUAAGUCUAUGGGCUUUGAAGAAAAGUGGCAGGAGGCAUAUUGCCAUGGAGUUCCACAUUGCCACGGAUUGUCUUCACAAAGUUUCCAGAAGAACAUAGCAGAGAAUUCAAUCAUCCCCAAAACAGGAAAGUUCCAACUAAUCUUCUUUUUUAAAAUAAAUAAAUAAAUUCAUCAUUGUUAUUUUUAAUUUUACUGCUAUUUAUGUGGCA
Molecule: long non-coding RNA, 647 nt
Organism: Pseudophryne corroboree (corroboree frog)
Lineage: Eukaryota; Metazoa; Chordata; Amphibia; Anura; Myobatrachidae
Exons: 4
Source: RefSeq, a predicted model, not a curated record